Molecule: transfer RNA, 88 nt
Filed under: Jatrophihabitans lederbergiae
Lineage: Bacteria; Bacillati; Actinomycetota; Actinomycetes; Jatrophihabitantales; Jatrophihabitantaceae
Description: Jatrophihabitans sp. DSM 44399 tRNA-Asp
Rfam family: tRNA
About the family: Transfer RNA (tRNA) molecules are approximately 80 nucleotides in length.
Source: RNAcentral
GGAGAGGUUCCCUGAGUGGUUUAAGGGGAUCCGGGCAUCGCUCGGAUGGGCUUCACGGCCUGCGCAAGUUCGAAUCUUGCCCUCUCCG